CAAUCAUCGAAUCCUUUAAGUUGGAAGAGACCUUUGAAGGGCAUCUCACUUAGUCCAGCUCUCCUGCACUGAACAGGGACACCAUCAGUGCUCAAAGCCCCAUCCCCUGACCUUGGGUGCCUGCAGGGACACAGCAUCACAUGUCUUUUGAUAUUAAGACACAAAAAACAUACUUUUUCCACCUUGGGUGCCUGCAGGGACACAGCAUCCACCACCUCUCUGGGCAACCUGUGCCAGUGCCUCACUGUUCUUAUUGUAAAAACUCCUUCCUUAUAUCCAAUGUAAAUUUCCCUUCUUUCAGUUUGAAAUCAUUUCCCCUUGUCCUGACACAGCAGGCCCUGCUAUAGAAGCUGUCCCGUUCCUUCUUACAGCCACCCUGUAGAUACUGAGCGGUCACUCAGCUCUCCUGGAGAGCUCUCUUCUCUAGGCUGCACAGCCCCAGCUCUCAGCCUGUCCUCACAGGGGAGGCAACCACAGAACCAUGGAAUAUCCCAAGAUGAAAGAGACCCAUAAAGGUCAGUGUCUCCAACUCCUACUGCCACGCAGGAACACCCAAUAAUCAAACCAUACCAUCAUUAGGUUGACCACACUUAGAUAGUUCUUCAGGUAUGGUAUGCCAGGCAGUUUAUGGCUGUGGUUACUUGGCUGCUGGUAGCCAGUUGUGGAUGUCCUUUAUCAGCAUGCAUUAACUCAUGGCCAUGGAAUAGAGCAUCAGUGAGCAGCUGGGUGUGGGGAAGCAGCUUCACAAACGGCACUUGACAACUCAGCAUUUUCUUGGAGGAGAGAAAGGGUGAGCAGUAAGACAGCAGUGCCUGCUGGCAGCACAACCAUUGUGGAGCUGGCACUGCAACCUGUCUGCUGGCAAUACUACCCUUGUCAAGGACGAGGGUCAUCUGUGAAGAACUGUGGGUAUCUGGGCAGUAAAAAAAGAGUAGGGUAGAUAAAUGAUGUACAUGGGGAAGCCUAGUCCUAACUGUACCUAACUGGUAUCUGAACCUCUCAUGAAAAGCAGUUUGGUAGGUCUGGGCCCUGCACCCUGAAAAUGAAUUACUUGGAAAGGAUGUGCCUAAGGCCUGACUCAUCCCAAGGGCUCAAAGAGAAUGGACUGGACUGGCUGUCCAAGUAUGUGUGGUCUGGUGUGCGGUGGUAGGAAGCCUUGUUAGAAGGUCCCCCUUGCACAGUGCCAUGGGAGCAAUGCACACCACAUCUCUACUCAGUGCAGGCUGCAGAUAGAAGGUGUUUCUCUGGGGCAUGGCAAGAUUGUCCAGGCAAUGGGGAGAGCCCAUGUAGUCAGUGAAUGAGCACCCUCUGACGAUGCAGCAGUCUCCCUGUGCUGGAAAUAGUUGGGGGCUGUGGGAGUGUUGCAGAGGAGGAAGCUCAGACUUGCCUCAUUUUUCAUUUUCCCUCUGUGUUUGCCUGUGGCCAGUGGAGGAAACAGGGCUGAGCGGAUUUGGUAUCCCAGUCAGUGUGCCUCUUCCUCCUAUUCUCUGAGAAUCAGCCUCUGCUGAUAUUUACUAUCUGGAGCCAUGUGUGAUGGGUUCAUCUGUACUGGGAGUCACUUGCGGAGCAGCUGCUGUGCUGCAUUUACAUUUCCCCUCGCAAUAUAUUUAUUCCUGUGUCCAGAAAGUAUUAAUAGCAAUCUGCAUGCGGUUGCAUAUCUGCAACAAAACCUUUUAUUUGUCCUUGAGUGAAAAUAUAUCCUCCACGAGAAACACCCAAAGUCAUCUCGUUUUCCUUGGGUCGGUCUACUGAAGGGAGUGGCAAUGCAGAAAAAUCUCUCCCCUCUCCCUCUGAUGGCUCAGGUGGAUGCAUGAAUUUUAGCCGCAUUUGAGUUGUGCAGUCAGCAGCUGAGCGGCCAAUAUGCACAGGCUGAUUAAGUGGUUGGCUGCUUCCUCUUAGCAUGACUAAGGAAUUGGAUUUUGCCCAAUGAUUUCAAACGUUUUUUAUUGGAGAGAAGACAUUUAUUGCAUCCUUGGGGACGUGAGGCAAAAAAAAAAUAAAUAAAUACCGUGCCCUAUGAGAUGAGGCUUCCGUUGGGUUUUUAGUUUGAUGCACCUAUUUCUUGGCACUACCCUAAAAUAAUUAAUAAAUGGCAGAGCAUUAUUGGUGAAAAAUGAAGCAUGAGGGCUGGAGGAAAUGAAGGGAGUUCAGCUGCCUCUGUGCCCGACUGCUCUGCUUGCGCCCACCUCUGCCAUAGCGCCUGGGUCAGAGCCGCACUGAGUCAUCCUGGUGCACAGAGUGGGGCACGCGGGGUAAAUUGAUUCUCAUCUCCCUGCGAGAUUUCCUCAUUUGUUCUUUAUCUGUAGGAGGGGAUUUCCAUAGUAAUGCGACCUGUCUCCGUGCUCCAUUAAUCGUCUCCCAGCUGAUGUAGAUCGUCCCGGUUGAACAGAUAGAUAAUGGAGAAGUGUUGAGUGCUUGAGCGACGCAUCUGAAAGGAACAGGUAGGCAAGAAUUGAAGUGCAAAUGUUUAAAGACAAAACCCGACAUUCUUCCCGGACAGGAUGUCUUCAUGCUAGUUUACUGUUAUUUUCUAGUUGCAGAACGCGAUAGGAUGAGAAAUUAGAAUGUAAAUGUUUUAUUUUUUAGUGUUGCACGUGACUUCUCUGGUAAGUUACUUUUCAUGAACAGAACUCUUAAUGACCUUUAAUACCAACAGCAGUCACUGACUUUAUGUGUGCCAGUACGAAAAUGUGAAGUUGUGAUGAAAAAUGCUGUUUUUUACGGUGUCAGAGGUCACCAAAAAGCUGACUGCACAUUUCUGUUGCGAGUUGGUUAGUCCAGAAAAAGAAAUGCUCCUCCAGGAUUUUGCGUCUUCCAUCCACAUAAGGGAGUGAGAAAAUGUAGCGAAACAACAAACGAACACAGAACUAGGAAGCUCAACAUCUUUUUUGAUGCCCUCUUCAAUGCGAAGACUAACGAAAAUAGCAGGAAGGAGAUCUGGCCGUACUGAUGGUGAAAGGCCGAGUUUUCUGGAAUAAAGUGUAGACUUCUGAUCUUCCUGAAGUAAUUAAGGAGAUUGAAAAUUUUUAGCAAUACCAUAAAGAGCUCAUUUCUGUGAUUCCAAGUCAGCCUUAGUUGUUCUAAUGUGCAUAGCAGCUGGAAGAGAAAGCCACGCGAUGGCUGAAGAAGUUGUCUGCAGCAAGAAAAUCACAUCUCAGUUCCCAGGAUUUCAGAGAGAUGAGUCUCCUUCAAUAGUUACAAACCUCUGCAAAACGUUUUGGUGCCUGUUGUGCACUGGUUUGAUCGGAUCUUGGUGAUUUCCUCCUGCAUGCAAUCCAGGGCCUGGUUCUGCUCUUCAUGAUGGAUGAUGCUACCAGGAACCGUGGCUGAUUCAUUGUGCUGAAGGAGGAGAGAAUGGGGAUGUGGAGUUGAUCUUCAUAAUUGGCCUACGUAUUUUGGGUAACAUGUAACGUGUUACAUUUAUUCUAGGCUCACAGCAACCUAGUUGUGAGAAAAAUGUGGAACCAACAUAUGGCUUGGAACUGCUAGCAAUGCAGGGCUAGCAGGAGGCACUUCUGAGGUGCCACGCCAUCCACAACAUUCGAAUUUUAAAUGUGAUCUGAGUGUGUCCUCUGUGUGUGACCUGACAAUAAUUAUUGAUCGGGGUCUUAAGUCGCUGCUUUGAAUUCCUUGGGUCAGUUGGUUUUGUCGUCUUUGUUUUGCUUGCUUAGGGGAAAGGUUGUUUGUGCUGGGAGGGGAGGAAUUGCACCCACCAUAGCACUUCAACAUGUAGCACUAACAGAUUUAUUCCUUGGGACAAAAAAAAAGGAGGGGGUUUCAAAGGUUCUGAUACUCCUUUUUAAACCAAAACAGUUGGCAAGGAAAAAUGGAAGAGGAGUUAGUGAUGCUCUUGACUACUUUCUUACAUGUCUGAGACUAUAGGUGUGUUAAUUCCCCUCCGUCUAAGUGUUCCUGACUGCUCCGUGCCUUGCCCCGAGCGGAAAGAUAAAGAAGAGAUCCUUCCAUUUGUAUCAGACAUGGCUUCCUUCCUGGGUUGCCUUUCUUUGUGGCGUAGCACGGCGCUGGCAGAGCUCCUCACGUGGCACAGGAGCCGUGCUGACUCACGCGCUCACACGGGAAAUCCCAGCAUGCUUUCUGGCUGCUUCUCAUUCAAACGAUUCUUCCCAGCCUUCUGCUUUUGGGAAGGGAGCCUCAGUCUGCACCUCACACCCCGGCACUCUGCUGCUGUAAUUCAGCACAAAGAUAGCACAGAAUGGCCUCAGCUGAGAAUAUCUUUAGCACAGUUAAGAACGUGUCAGUCUCCAGCCAGAAGCACAGAAGCAGCACACAUCUUUAGAUGAUACAAGCCAACCUGCUGCCUGGAGCUGGUGGGAUCUGCCUUCAUAUUUGUCAUCUCUUCACAUCAUCGUGUCUCCAUACAGCCGACUGAUGAAGAAACUUUUCUGACUUCUGAUCAUCCCUUCAUACGUUUCUGUCCUUUCCAGUUCUUCCAUCUCCUUUUUGAGUUGAAGACAUAGAGGUCAAAUAUUGCUCAGAGGCACUAAAAGAGGCAUAUGAAGGAAGAGGCAUUGGUGGAUGUGUUUGGAUAUGCUUAAUGAGGAACAGAGAACAGGCUAGUUGCUAAUUGUUUAUCCAAUGCUGUCACCAGCUGUCUGGAGUCUUCCCAGUGAUGUAGGUGAAAAUGGUGACCUGCACAAGGCCUUCACUACUUCGCAGUCACCUUCUCCUUUGUCCAGGGCCUGGUCCCAGAGGCAGCUUCAGUAAAGGUCCCAGCAAUGCUGUAACCCUUUCCAUAUUGCCUAAUUCAUUGCCUGCCAAGACAUGUUUGAAAUAGCCCUGUCUGCAGCCCUGAGGACAAGAGCUGUGUUAUUAACAGAGUGCUUUUAAAGAAAAAUGGCUACUUUUAUUUCCUCUCUCAUUUAUUUAUUUGUUUGUUUGUUUGUUUCACUCCUGCCCCAAAUGAUCAAGAUAGAGAAGCUAAAUAUUGCUCAGUGGCUUAUGUUGUAUGAUAAAUAUUGUCUGUUUCAAGGUGCUAUCUGAAAGCUCAUUCUCACUCAUUUGCAGACAGAACGGUUAUUUCAGGACGGGCAUAAUAUGGAAAUGUUUCUCCUACCCAUUUCUGGAGUCUUUUUUGGUAUCCUGAGCAGCGCCAGAUAUUGGAAUGGCUAUACUGUGUCUGAGUGAAAAGACAGGGUACCUCAGCAGUGGCAUCUACAGCAGGGACAACCACAUGGGUUGCUCUAAAUCAGGACCAGGAAGAUUGUACUGCACGAGAGACUGCCAAAGCUGACAUGGGCCAUGAUGUCAGACUGCUGGAGAAACACCUGGAGGAAUGAGGGGCAGUGAGGGGCACUCAUAGAAGCAAUAAAAGGGCAGAGAAAGCAUCAAUUUACCAGUAGGAACAGUAUGCUAGUAAGAUGUGCUGUGCUCCUUUUUCAUACAUUCUGGGCCAUCCCUGUGGGCGGCAUGACGGUGAUACUUCAGACCAACAUAUAACACUGUGCAGCUCAGUACUGCCUUGAGAGCUGCACCACCGGUGAUAAGAGACAAUGCAACACGUGCUGCUUUGCCCUUGAGUCCCUCCCUGUCCCCUGGUUCUGCUCUACAACCCAUUUAUUUUCCCACCUGAAUGCCAUCUCUGUGCUUUCCUUUAACUUUCACCAAAUCCUGCAGGGGUCUGGUAUUGCAGGAGAGUUUCCUCCUCUGGCUGCACACCUGAGAAAGAGCUUUAACGAAACUAGAAGAUGGCCAGAGAUUUUGUGUUCCUGAUAUUCCUCGCAGCAAAUAGAUAUCCACUGGGGAAAUCAGGUUAUUUUCUUAUCUCAGGAGCUGCUGUAGAUGAUCUUCCUUCAAAUCCUUACCAGAACUGAGCCACUGCUGCUGGUGGCAAUUAAAACACAUGCCAUGAAAGGAACUGAUGGAGUUAUGACUGUGUUGGUGAAAUGCUGGUCCCCACAAAGACCCUGCCCACCCCCACCAGCCUGGACCAUGACACGAUUCAUCCUCCAUCACUCUGGAGCUGGGCAGCUUCUCAUGGCCAGGUCAGAACCAGCACCUGGGCUGAAGGCAUUGGUUACGAAGAGUAAAACAGAGAGAAACAAACAGCAGAACUCUCUCCAGAAGUGCAAACAGUGCUUGUGAGAGGCAAGAAGGCAGCACACAUUGAUGGCAGUGCAGUUUCUAUUAGAUGAGUAUACUUGACAUGACCCUGGCUGCAUCCGUGAUCAGCAGACCACAAUACCACCACAUUGUCAGCUGCACCCUCAGAGUCUGUGUGAGCUUUGCUUGGAAUUAAGAGCCAGACUUUGUUUGUGCAACAGUCAUUUAUUUCUGCUUUCUUUACUUGUUGUCCAGCAUAGGCCCUGCUUAUGGUUCUGGGCUCUUCCAGGACUGGGGAGAACACAAGGCGCUGCUGGCCCUUCUCUUUGGCUGUGCAGGUGCACAGUGGAGUCAGUGAGCCCACUGAUGAACUCUGCUGUGCUGCAGGUUGGCUUGCACAGAUGAUGCCCACUCACAUGUCACAGCAGAUGGGAUACGGCACCUCUUCCUGAGUCAUAGUGUCAGCUCACUGCAGCCAGCUGGAGAGAGCUGAGGAUGUGUAUGAUAUACUCCAGCCUCAUCCUUGCUCCUCAUGCCUUGCAUCAGGGGAGGGGAGCCAGCCAUUCAGCCAUUCCAUGAGAAUACAGCCUGCUGGGAGGUCCCCACCAUCCUUCCUACAGCAGGGAUGUCUCUGGGCUGGCGCUGGCUGGCUGCUCAGGAAGGUAGAGAUGAAGCUGCAAGCCAAAGAUGGAGCCUAGGGCCAGCAGAGGAGCAGAAGUUAUUUGUGUCUUAGGUAUCCUGCUCUCUGCUCUCUGGUCCUGGUGAGACAAGCAUUCAGGAGAGCCAUUCUGCAGUACUGGUACACAAGGUCUUCAUCACAGUGUCCACGAAGAGAGCAACAGACAGUUCUCAACCUGUCUGAUUGCUGCUGAGUGCAUGGUUUGUACUUGCUUCACUUCUGCCUCUCUCACUGCUUUACGGCUCAUUUGGCUGAGCUCUUCAUACAAAAUAGCGUGUUAGACCAGCUCUGUGCUGGGAGUGCUGCAGGAAGGCAUUGGAUGGCUGGGAAAGGGAUGGGCAAAGGGGACUCUGCUUUCAGCAUCCACACUGCCUGCCUACCAUGCUAUUGCGCUUGUUUGUUUUGCUAACCCAUAUGGAAUAAUAAUAAUGUUUCAAGUCAAAGAAGCACACCUAUGAAACCAACCCUUCCUGGUCAGUGACUCUGCCCCCAAUCUUCCCACAGCAUGUCCAACCACUGUGCUGCAACUCUUUGCUUUGUGUCAGACAAGGAAGAAUGAGAAUAGCAUGUGCCUGAUAUUUGGUGAUACAUUGGUAUAUUCAGUACUGAUAUAUAUUGAUGCAUAUUUGGUGGUAUAUUGACAUGUUUGGCAGUAUAUGAAUAUAUUCAGUGAUGAUGAAUGAGCAAAGGAGAUACUUCCAGAGCUCCAUUUUCAACCUCCUUUCAGCCUCUUGGGGGAGCACCCAGAGGACAUUUGCUCUCUCAUUGCUGGCCCCAUUCAUGUCUGCAGUCUAACAGACUCACACAUGAACCAAGGCCAGUUUUAGAAAUCCUUGGUGGAAGUACAGUAUGUCAGACAUAAUUCCACUGUUUGGAAACAUUCCUUUUUAUUACUUGAUAUUUAGAUCAUUUCUGUCCAUGUUUAUGUUUGUGCGCUUCCUAACAGGCAUCUAUUUGCAGAACAGAGUAUGAGAAGUGCUUCUGACAGGCACAUGUAGUGGCUGGUUUCAGAGAGAUGGGGCAGGACUCGCCUUGCAGACCUUUUAGACUUAAUUAGGAAGAGUUGUGGGGAGAAACAGCUGCACCCACAUUUUCUUUUUUUUCUGUUUCCCACUGCUUUUGGCUGCUAUACUGUGGGAUGCACUUUUUGUGUGUGUGUGUACAGAGCAAAGUUCAUCUGAGCCUUUACAGCACGGCAUUAUGGCAGAUGGAAACCAUUCCCAGCUGCCAGCUGAUCUGGUUGCCCUUGGUGUAGAGCAGGACACUGAAUAGAUAACCCUCUGCCAAAGCAACAGGUGCUGUGUCAGUGUUAGGGGUUUUGUCUUUGUGUGGUUAUAGCUGCCCCUCUAGCCUAUGCUUAGGAAAGGCGAUCUUCCUUCUUCAUGCCAUGGUGACCAAUAGGCUGUCCUGAAGCUUUUUGCUUUUUUGCUGGUUUGCUCUGGCUCCUGCAGCAGCACCAGGCAAGCCAGGAGGCUUAGUUGUCAAUGAGAAGGGAGAUGAAUGUGGGGGUGCUACCAAGAGCAGAAAGGAAAGGAACAAAAAAGGCCGCAUCUCCUGUGCAGCCCUCCUGCUCAAAUGCCACCAUAAACAGUUUUUAUUUUAUUUUUUUAAUAUAGAAAAUGAUUUAUUUUCUAAUCAAAUGGCUGAGGGGUUUGAUUCAUCUCUUGUGAUCCUCCAAAACCAUAAGCUGUUUGUGUAAGUUGCUUGCUGAUUAAACUCUGUACACUGCUGUAAAUCAAAUCCUGCAUUUCCCAGAGGUGAUUGGAAGCGAUCGUGCUGAGCUCUCCAGCAUUAAGGCCACAUUAUUUCCUUCCGUCCAAGGUGUUUUCCAGGAUUGCACAAAGCAAGUGGAGUUUGAAGGAAGUCUUAUUUCACAUUUUGGAAAUGAGUAACUUCUGGGUUAUGUUCAAGCUUUUUGGUAACCAGAAUGGUACAUUACUCAUCUGUUCUCAUUAAAUGGGAUUCAGCAAUGGCUGAAGUCCCAGGAACUUGUGUAUGAAGAAUACAAACAAGAUGGUUCUUUUGCUUCCUUGUGCUUUAACACUGCAUUGUAUCUCUGCAUGGUUUUAAGGUGUCAGGAAUGGAUCCAGAAGGCAAUCACGUCACUUUGUGCUCCUGUGUUUGGGCAAGUUGUUACUACAUAGGCAUCAGCAGCAAAAGGUGAAAUCCAGAUCUACGCAUCCCCCUGUCUGAGUGGCUGCUUAUAGACAAAAUAAUUGCUUGUAGUUAAUUUGGAUAUAUGUAUCUUCCAUUUGUAAGGUAGUAUAUACAGAGACACAUCUGAUUAAGUGACAUUCUGCCAUUAUUGCCUUUUAUUAAACAAAAAGAAACUGGAGAGUAACUCUUAUAGCAGUGAAUUGGAAAUAAAUGAUAAAAACCAGGUUCCUUUCUCCCCAUACAAUUUUGUUCAAGUGUCACAUAUACAAGGACGUGGAUGUGACUGUUACUGGCCACAGUAACCCCAUGCAGUGCUAUAGGCUUGGGGCUGAGUGGCUGGAUGACUGUGAAGAGGAAGUGGACCUGGGGGUGUUGGUUGAUGCUCAGCUGAACAUGAGACAACAGUGUGCCCGGGUGGCCAAGAGGGCCAACAGCAUCCUGGCUUGCCUAUCUUGUGGUUUUCUAUGACUGAUGUCAUCAGAGGACUAAAGAAGAGCAAGUGAUGCCAUCUGCCUGGACUUCUGGAAGGACUUUGAUAUGGUCCCACACCACAUUCUUACUUCCAAACUGGGGAGACAUGGAUGUGAAGAAUUGAUUAUUUGGUGUAUAAAGGCUUGGUUGGAUUUCCACAGCUAAAGGGCUGUGGUCAGUAGCUCUAUGUUCACAUGGAUGUUGGUGAUGAGUGGUGUCCUCCAAGGGUCCAAACUGGGACCAUUGUUCUUCAACUUCUUUAUCAGUGAUAUAGACAGUGGAAUUGAGGGCACCCUUACCAAGUUUUCUGACAAUACAAAGUGAAGUGGUGCAGCUCACCCAGCAGAAGGAAGGGACACCACUCAAAGGGACCUGGACAGACUUGAGAAGUGUGUCCAGGUGAACCUAAUGAGGUUCAACAAGGCCAAGUGU
Molecule: non-coding RNA, 9799 nt
Organism: Coturnix japonica (Japanese quail)
Lineage: Eukaryota; Metazoa; Chordata; Aves; Galliformes; Phasianidae
Source: RefSeq, a predicted model, not a curated record